This 1864-nucleotide long non-coding RNA is filed under the name Xyrichtys novacula (pearly razorfish). The stretch from base 1 to 65 matches the Rfam family "tRNA", at positions 9 to 71 of the family's 71-position model. The record is from RNAcentral. Lineage: Eukaryota; Metazoa; Chordata; Actinopteri; Labriformes; Labridae.
AGCUCAAAUGGUAGAGCGCUCGCUUAGCAUGCGAGAGGUAGCGGGAUCGAUGCCCGCAUCCUCCAACCUAACUUUUUCUCUGUCCCACAGGUUCUUCCUCCUCUUCCUCUCUCUCCUCCUCCUCCUCCUCCUCUUCCUCUCUCUCCUCCUAAAAUUAAACACCGACAGAUCCUCUCAGGUGUUUAAUUUGGGGGUUAAAAACACAGACUCAGGUCAACAGACAGAGUGUCUGUAGUUGGACAGUUUUCAGAUCGGGGUGAGUCAGUCUAACACCAGAUCCACAUCCGUCUGACGGACUGACAGCGCCCCCUGCUGCAGGUAACGUCUGGUUCACACUGGAAGCGCCGCGCGCGGAACGGAAGCGCCGCGCACAGAGUUUCAGAUCGGCGCCCAUGUUAACCUAUGAGACUGUUCACACAGCACGCGCGCGGAAGCGCCGCGCGCGGAACGGCUCGCGCUCUGGAGCGCGGCUGCUCCGCUUCUCUCUAUUUUUGGCGCGAGCCGCGCGCGCCGAUGUAAAGCUCAACAGAGCAGAUCGGACCAGACAGGAAGUCAGGAAGGAGAUGCGAGAGAAUCCGGUCAAUUUUCAAAAUAAAGUAAAUUUCAAUAAAUUAGAAAAAGAUUGACGGUGUUGCUUGUCGGUCUAUUUUUUUUUACCGAUGAACACACACACACACACACACACACACACACACACACACACACACACACACACACACACACGGAGGGAGAGCUGCAGAGAUUCAGUGAUGUUAUUGAGACAAAGAGGGGGGACUUUAUUACGAUACAGUCAAUAGCCUCGAGCUAACAAGGCUAUACAUACAACGGAGUCAACAGACUCCCCAAUUUAUUCGUCGUUUACCCCUAUAUAAUAAUUUAAAACAAUACUUGAAGAUGCUGUCAAUAUUUAAUUCAUGUAUGACGAAAUAAAAACGUAAAUAAAUAGUGAUUUACCCAUUUUUAAAGCGCUCGUAAGUGUGGAAAACUGAGGGCAGACGGAAACGGCCGAGCACUACCGGGCUCAGUCGAUGUCUGACCGGCAUGUCAGAGCGCAGCAGAAAGCGCUUCCUGUGUGAACAGCCAAGCGCGAGCCGGCGCUGCGCGCGCGCGCGGCGCUUCCGUUCCGCGCGCGGCGCUUCCAGUGUGAACCAGACGUAAGAGGGACCAACUGUGUGUGUGUGUGUGUGUGUGUGUGUGUGUGUGUGUGUGUGUGUGUGUGUGUGUGUGUUUAUUUUAAUUUAAUAUUUUAAAGUUUAUUUUAAUUUAAUGUUUUAAAUUUUAUUUUAAUUUAAUGUUUUAAAGUUUAUUUUAAUUUAAUGUUUUAAAUUUUAUUUUAAUUUAAUGUUUUAAAUUUUAUUUUAAUUUAAUGUUUUAAAUUUUAUUUUAAUUUAAUGUUUUAAAUUUUAUUUUAAUUUAAUAUUUUAAAGUGAGAGAAUCUCUGAGUUUAUUUCUUUAACUCUGUUGGUUCUGGAGAACUCGGACUCCAUCAGGUGGUUCUGUUCAUCUCUGAGAUUAUUAUGAAGGUCUUCGUCCUGGUCUGGAUGGACCCAGAUGUUCCUCCUAAACCUCAGCAUUAACAGAGCCUUCAUGUGGACUCUGAAGAUCCAGAUUAUUAUUGAUCUGCAGUGACUCAUUUAUUGAUCUGUGAUCUUUUUACUCGGUCCGUCUGUAAAUGUGGGUCUAUUACAGGAACAUUAGACCAUCAGAGAUACUGGAUCUGGACCAGGAGACUUCACCUCUGGACGACCCUCUAGCCCAGUGGUUGGGACCCACAUUUUCCCAUGAUCCUUCAGUCGUGACCCACUUUAAUAAAAUUCAAACCAAGAAAAUGUGAUUUUUAAUAAAAAACCUUCAAAGACUCAAA